Molecule: ribosomal RNA, 485 nt
Filed under: uncultured bacterium
Lineage: Bacteria
Description: bacterial SSU rRNA
Rfam family: Bacterial small subunit ribosomal RNA
Source: RNAcentral
GACGAACGCUGGCGGCGUGCCUAACACAUGCAAGUCGAACGGAACUUCUUUAAAGGAUUUCUUCGGAAUGAAUUUGAUUAAGUUUAGUGGCGGACGGGUGAGUAACGCGUGAGUAACCUGCCUCUGAGAGGGGAAUAACAUUCUGAAAAGAAUGCUAAUACCGCAUAAUAUAUAUUUAUCGCAUGGUAGAUAUAUCAAAGAUUUAUCGCUUAGAGAUGGACUCGCGUCCGAUUAGUUAGUUGGUGAGGUAACGGCUCACCAAGACCGCGAUCGGUAGCCGGACUGAGAGGUUGAACGGCCACAUUGGGACUGAGACACGGCCCAGACUCCUACGGGAGGCAGCAGUGGGGGAUAUUGCGCAAUGGGGGAAGCCCGUGACGCAGCAACGCCGCGUGAAGGAUGAAGGUCUUCGGAUUGUAAACUUCUUUUAUUAAGGACGAAGAAAGUGACGGUACUUAAUGAAUAAGCUACCGGCUAACUACGUG